UACGAAGGGGCUAGCGUUGCUCGGAAUUACUGGGCGUAAAGCGCACGUAGGCGGCUUUCUAAGUCGGGGGUGAAAUCCUGGAGCUCAACUCCAGAACUGCCUUCGAUACUGGAGAGCUUGAGUCCGGGAGAGGUGAGUGGAACUGCGAGUGUAGAGGUGAAAUUCGUAGAUAUUCGCAAAGAACACCAGUGGCGAAGGCG
This 200-nucleotide ribosomal RNA is filed under the name uncultured bacterium. Its description in RNAcentral is "partial 16S ribosomal RNA". It matches the Rfam family "Bacterial small subunit ribosomal RNA", at positions 524 to 723 of the family's 1533-position model. The record is from RNAcentral.